UACAGAGGUCUCAAGCGUUGUUCGGAUUCAUUGGGCGUAAAGGGUGUGUAGGUGGCGCGCUAAGUCGGGUGUGAAAUUUUGGAGCUUAACUCCGAAACUGCAUUCGAUACUGGCGUGCUUGAGGACUGGAGAGGAGACUGGAAUUUACGGUGUAGCGGUGAAAUGCGUAGAUAUCGUAAGGAAGACCAGUGGCGAAGGCGGGUCUCUGGACAGUUCCUGACGCUGAGGCACGAAGGCCAGGGGAGCAAACGGG
RNAcentral lists this ribosomal RNA (253 nucleotides) under uncultured bacterium. Its description in RNAcentral is "partial 16S ribosomal RNA". It matches the Rfam family "Bacterial small subunit ribosomal RNA", at positions 524 to 776 of the family's 1533-position model. The record is from RNAcentral.